GCUUAGGGAGAUUGGGAUGGUGCAUUAGUCACAUUAGACCUACUCAUCCCAGCUGGGAGUAUCCAGAAGAUAUACCCUUGACCAAUGCCUUGCAAAAUAGAUUUGUGAGGGCAGCACCUGCAUCUUUGAAGAACCGUGUAAUUGCUCUUCUCUGUAUAUUAGAUCUAACAGUGGGAACCACAGUCACUCAACUACAAAAUUUAAAUACAGUGGGAAUAAUUGGAUCCCGAGGUGGCAGAGGCCAAGUGGCAGCACUCAACUGUGACAGGCAAGGAGUCCUCAACUCCAGGCUGUGGACCAGUAUGGGUUGGUUUGUGACCUGUUAGGAACCAGGCCACACGGCAGGAGGUAAGAAGCCCUUUGAUAGCGAAGACAAUAUCUAAUGCUGUGUAUAUAAAGCUUCAAAAAUAUUGGUUAAAUCAAUUGCCAGAGACAGAAAUGGGAAAGUUCCAGUUGUCCAGCAUGUAAUUUGGAGAAAAAAAAAGAACACGCUGUCUUCAGGAUAGGUCCUUGACAACUAUUUUUUGAAGAGCUAUGGGCCAGGAUCUGAGCUGGGAUUUUUAAUCUGUAUUCUCAAUAUGCAUGGAAUAUAUGUGUCAGAAUCUAGCCAUUAUGCAGGAAGACCACUGCUGGACUUGAGAAAAAUUUCCACAAUGCACUAUUUUCAAUUAUGGACAUAUUAGAAAAGAGUAUUCUACAUUUUGUGCCACAUUUUCUGAAUCCAGUCUAUCAUUGUUGGAGAUUUGGGUUGGUUACAAGUCUUUGCUAUUGUGAAUAGUGCCGCAAUAAACAUACAUGUGCAUGUGAAAAUGUGGCACAUAUACACCAUGGAAUACUAUGCAGCCAUAAAAAAUGAUGAGUUCAUGUCCUUUGUAGGGACAUGAAUGAAGCUGGAAACCAUCAUUCUCAGCAAACUAUUGCAGGGACAAAAAAACCAAACACUGCAUGUUCUCACUCAUAGGUGGGAAUUGAACAAUGAGAACACUUGGACACAGGAAGGGGAACAUCACACACUGGGGCCUGUUGUGGGGUGGGGGGAGGGGGGAGGGAUAGCAUUAGGAGAUAUAUCUAAUGUUAAAUGAGGAGUUAAUGGGUGCAGCACACCAACAUGGCACAUGUAUACGUAUGUAACAAACCUGCAUGUUGUGCACAUGUACCCUAGAACUUAAAGUAUAAUAAAAAAUAUAUUAAAAAAGAAAAGAGUAUUCUAUUCAUUUUGUAUAUUUUUCCAUAUUUCUACAAAGGGUCCUAACAUAUAAGUAACUUCUGUUGCUCAGUGUAUGACCUUCGUUAAACAGUGCUUGUGCCAAAACCUCAAGAAUGCAUUACUUUCCUCUUUUGAGAGGAGAAAAAUAUAAUUUUGCAGGGUUGCAUGGGAUGAAAAUAAUGAAAAUAUACAAAUCCGUUAUUUAUAUUUAGUUGACUUAUUUGUCCCACACAGCCU
RNAcentral lists this long non-coding RNA (1444 nucleotides) under Homo sapiens (human). RNAcentral describes it as "HSALNT0163359". Lineage: Eukaryota; Metazoa; Chordata; Mammalia; Primates; Hominidae. The record is from RNAcentral.